This 1833-nucleotide long non-coding RNA is filed under the name Anas platyrhynchos platyrhynchos (common mallard). Its description in RNAcentral is "lncRNA (ENSAPLG00000028044.1)". The record is from RNAcentral. Lineage: Eukaryota; Metazoa; Chordata; Aves; Anseriformes; Anatidae.
GAAACACAAGUGUGGACAUGCCUUACAUAAAACUUGCUGUUAACAGGGAAGUCAAAGGAUGUUUGGCUGGGCAAACAACUGCUCUACACGAUUUGCCUAAUUUUCUAGGUCAUUCUGUAUGAAGUGAGUCUUUCAAACCCAGCUUCUCUAACAACUUCACAGUUGUGUGCUCAGGAGGCUCCCGGGUAUGCCGUCUGUCUGCAGGCCAAGCAGCAUGAUGCUUUCGAGGAAAAGUGCCCUUCCUGUCUGGGAAAUUUUGAACGACAUGUAUUGUAACAUAGAAGACAGAGGAACUGGAGAUCUGCAAAAGUGUGAGGCAAUAGUUGAACAAGACAAAGAACAUGAUGCUGCAUCUUUGCAAUUGGUAUUAUUUCAUGAAUGUGACAUAGCGCAACUGUCAUGUAAAGUAGCUACAGAUAACCACAACAACACACCAGCUAUGUCCCUGGUCUUACGAGUUUCUUCAUCAAAUCAUCGUGUAAUGAGGCAGGAGAAGCUGUACCAUCUGCAGCUUUCAGAAGGAUGAAUAUAGAGAAUAUUAAUGUUAGUCUUGCAGUGGAAAGACACAGAUGGACAUUCAUCAUGACAGACCAGUACAACAUUGCCAAAGCAAGUGAGUGCACUGCUUCUGAUAACAAUGCUGACAAUUGUAUGUGAGUCCCUGCAAAUCUGUACAAAGAACUGAGACACACCAAGGGCUCACUGAGAUUUUAAGUCAUUGGUAGGUGAGCUGGGGGUGGGGGGGAACUACACAUUACAAUUUUGAAUAAUAUGUCAUUUCUGGUGCUGCCUUGGGCUACAAAAGGAAUGUGCAUAGAUGGUCUUAAACUUUUAAGAAACUCAGACUUGAUAAGGCAGGAAUUUUCCUGGCAACAGGCACUCUGUUCUCCAGCGACUGAAUUGGGUAGUAAAAUGUCUCUUUGUUAACCAGUUCUAAAUAUGAGAAACCUUUGUAUGCCCUGCUUCUGGGUCCAGCUCUAAGCAGGGGCUGCAGAUGUGCAGGAGACUUUCUAUAUUAUGUGCUGUAGCAGGUGCUUUCCAUUCUUUACCUCUUAGAACGUUCCCUCAUGCUAAGAUGUUACAUGGUCUAUAUAUUAACAGAAAAGCUGUAUUUCAUACCCAGCACCCAAUUUACUCAUAUUCUGGAGGGUUAGAUAAAGACCUUUAAUUCAGAUUAGACAGGAGUGUUUGAGGGCAGGAGAAGACUAUAUGGUCCACAAAAAACUGUUUCUGUAAAGCUUCACAAUUAAUCAGCCCCUUCUACGUUGUUCAAAUCUCAUUAGUGAUGGCACCUUUCUGACCCCUUUUCCUGGAAAAGUGUAUCCAGCCAUUCUGUAAGCACUCUUUUUCUGUAUCUGUGGCUGACUUUGAAUAUGUGUUUUGCUCUAUAGCCUUUUUUUUUUUUUUUUUUUUAAUAGACAGUCUGUCUGCACAUCAUAACAUGUUUGCUACCAGGAUAGGAGUGUGUCAGGCUAUGACCCCUUGCUGACAAAUUAGAUACUAUCAUAAACAGCUUACUUCAUCAGUCUGUUGCCCUCUUUCUCAUAGGACUUCUUUGCCUCUCACAGUCCCUUUAUUCUCUAAGCUAGAAGAUAAAGGGAAAUAGGCAAAUCUUUUUGAAUCACGUUCUCUGAACUCAUCACUAGUGGUUUCCACCUUACCAAUCCUUCCCCAGUGAACAAAGGUGGGGAGCUGAACACCACUUUGCUAAUAUUCUUUAUGAUCUUAUCAAACCUUGUGACAAGAUAACUAAUACUGUGUUAUCUCACACAUCCAUGUUAUAUAUUGCAUGUCAAAAAUAAAGUUAAGAUAGCUUGAAAAGUCUAAAUUGAA